GUACAAGUCACCACCACCUCCGACGCCAAUUUACAAGUCACCACCACCACCCAAGGAGCCAUACUACCCUCCACACACCCUAACCUACAAGUCACCAUCUCCACCAACUCCUGUUUACAAGUCUCCACCGCCACCAACUUCGGUUUACAAUUCUCCACCACCACCAAGGGAGACUUACUACCCUCUCCACACUCCAUUGUACAAGUCGCCACCACCUCCGACACUAAUUUACAAGUCACCACCAUCACCAAAGGAGCCAUACUACCCUCCACACACCCCAACCUACAAGUCUCCACCUCCACUAACUCUCAUUUACAAGUCGCCACCACCACCAAAUGAGCCAUACUACCCCCCACACACUCCAGUUUACAAGUCGCCACCUCUACCGACUCCAGUUUAUAAGUCUCCACAUCCACCAACUCCUGUUUACAAGUCGCCACCACCACCUAAGGAGCCAUACUACCCUCCACGCACCCCAAUCUAUCAGUCACCACCUCCACCAACUCCCAUUUACAAUUCACCACCUCCACCAACUCUAGUCUAUAAGUCACCACCACCACCCAAAGAGCCAUACUACCCUCCACACACCCCAGUGUACAAGUCGCCACCUCCACCAACUCUUAUUUACAAGUCACCACCACCACCAAAUGAGCCAUACUAUCCUCCACACACUCCAGUCUACAAGCCGCCACCUCCACCAACUCCCGUUUACAAGUCACCACCACCACCCAAGGAGCCAUACUACCCUCCACAUACCCCAACCUACAAGUCAGCACCUCCACCAACUCCAGUCUACAAGUCGCCACCACCACCCAAGGAGCUAGGCUACCCUUCACACACCCCGACCUACAAAUCGCCACCACCACCCAAGGAGCCAUACUACCCUCCACAUACCCCAACCUACAAGUCACUACCUCCACCAAGUCCCGUUUAUAACUCUCCACUACCACCAACUCCAGUCUACAAGUCUCCACCACCACCCCAUUAUCUUUACACCUCUCCCCCUCCUCCCUACCAUUACUAAGAAGAUAUUUCAUUAUAUCUGAGGUAAUAAAACCAAACUAUAACUUUUAAUUAUGAUAUGUCUAUAGAAGUUGCACAAUUUCCUCGUACAAAUCAUUAAUAUAGACCUAUGCUGUCUACAUCUUAUUUGGUUUAGGUUCUAUUAUAUGUUCUCAUUCACAAUAUCAUAUUCUUAUGCAGGAAAGCAGAAUGUUGAGCUACAAGAAAAUAAGCCCACACAGGAGGCAAAGUACUUUUGUAGCUUCAUUUUGUAUAAGUUAUUGUUUGUACCCUAUAUUAUAUUUAUAUUUUACUUCUAUUUAUUUGUGUGUGUUUGUUCGAUCUCCUUGCAAAAUGCGGAGAUUAUGAGAUGUAUAAAAUAAGUUAUUACUAUACGGUUUUAUGUUUUCCCCUCUCUCUACACUUUCUUUUGGUCCUUUUUCUUAUUUUGUCAUCCUUAUAUUGAGUUUUUUAUAAGUUGACGAGGCUCUCAUCAAUUACAUUAAAUCAGUUGCUAUAAAAAAUGUGGGUUUUAUUCGUCAAUAAAUUUAAUGAUAAGAUACAAUAAAAUCUAAGUUACAAUCAAUCGAGAAUAUUAGUACCUCCAAUCUAAGUAACAAUUUAUCGGGAAUAUUAGUAGCUUCAAUUAGUUCUUGAAUUGACCAUCGUGAGGAGAAAAAUUACAAAAUUACAUUUUUUUAUAUAAAAUUUUAUGAAGGAAAAAGUAAAUGCACCCACACAAAUUAUUGAAUUAAUAUUAUUACUUGUCCUAUUUCUCUUAUCUUGAUUAUUAGUUUUCAGGGAUGAAAAUUUAAUUGUUAGACCUUUCACUUUUUAAAAAAAAAAAAGAAUGAACAACCAACUGAUUUUGGUAUCUGAUUGUGGUUGUUCAAGGCAUAUUAUAACGAUUAAAUUUUAGUUUUUGAAAAAUAAUAAUCAAGAAAAGAAAAAUAUCAAUAAAUAAUAAUAUUUAGUUUUAUUUAUUUGUGCAGGAUUUAACAAUCUUUAGAAAAUUUUAUACUAAAAUGUGUAUUUUUUGUUUUUUUUCCUCUCCCUGACUAUCAACUCAAAAGUUUUAUUUUGUACCUGAAUUGAUGAAAUACUUGUUGGAAGUUUACCACGAAUGUAGAAUCAAGUUUUGAUCACAUUCGAGGAGGUAUAAAAUGACUCACCACUUGGAGGUAAAUACUCUUUUGUAUGCAGAAGACUGUCAAAUCACUAUUAAAUACUUUUUUAUACAAGCAUUAGCUAGGGUUUGAAAUAUUUGGUCUCCUUGCCAUUCUAGCCGACUUUGGGCUUGAGAAACAUGAGUUGGGCUGGGCUAGACUUGUAAGCUUAACGGACUAACCUAAAUUUAAUUAAACUUCAUUUAAAUCAUAAAACUUCCAACUUUAUUAUAAACAAAAAAAAAUUUGAACAAAAAAAAAAGGAACAAAAUAGUACAUAAGAUCUCGAUCGUUGGACAAACAUUUGUCUAUAAUAAAUAUGUCGGCGAUAACUAUUGACUAGGUCAAUGUAGCUAGGGUUUGUACUUGUUUAUACUAUCUCUUGGGACGAUUAAAAAUAUUAGUUUAGCUUAACUAAUGGAAUCUUAUAUGGAGUUUAGUAAUUUUACUUUUGUCGGUGAUUAAGUUAUACAAAUGAUUAAUUAUUUUUCUAAUUAAAAAGUCAAAGUCAUUAAUGGAUGAACCAGGAAUCGUCCAUGUAUUUGAAUACUCUCUCCGUCCUCUUUUAGUUGUCAUGCAGUCAUUGUUUUCUUUUUUAGAAUCAAAUAAUAAGAACUGUGACUAACAUUUUAGGGUUUAUUUUUUGGGAAAAAGGACAAAUAUAUCCCCGAACUAUCGUAAAUGGUAUGCAUAUACCUUUCGUUAUACUUUUAGUACAUCAGUGCCCUUACCGUCCAAAUUUUAGAGAGUAUAUAUCAUUUAUACUAACGAUAGUAUAUGUGUCUUAAUCCUAUGGACCCGAUAUUUAUUAAUUUUUUUGUCAAAAUUUAAAAGCCCAAUUUUUAAAACCCACCCAAAUACGUAAUACUCAGCCCAAAAAAAGAACUCAAAAUCCCCAAAUCAAUUCACUCCCCAAACCUAUUUUCUUCUCCUUCUUCUCUGAUGUUUGUCGGUCCAGCAAAGAAUCAAAUUAACUUGAUGUAUUUUGUAUUUGGUAUCUUAUUUAAAACUCUUAAAAAUAAGUUCUAUCUUGGAUAUGUUAAGUAGGAGCCUAUUUGAAUACAACUUAUGUCUUUAUGGAAUUAUAAUCUCAUAAUAGAUGAAAAAUCAUGAUAGCACCCCAAAAUCAAAGCUCGUUUGCGCCUCAGUCGUGACUGGUAAGCUUGAUUUAGAGUUUUGAGGAAAAGAGAAGCUCAAUUGUCAAGUGAGAACCUGAUUUUUUUAUUUCAAAAACAAUAUACAGUUCUCAUGGAGGAAAUAUGGAUGAAGUAAUUUACUUGUCUAUGAUAUUUCUUCUUUCCAAGUAAAAGUAUUGUUUUGCUAUUUUCUACUGAAAGAUUUCUAUUUCAGAUGAAUUAAUUCUCUGUUACGCUAAAGAUUGGAGAAGAUCGAAGAAGAUGGAGAAGAAACUAGGGUUUUGGGAGUGAAUUGAUUUGGGGGUUUUGGUUUUUGGUUUUGGGUGGGGUUUUUUUAAUUAAUUCGGGUGGGUUUUUAAAUUUUUGGUAGAAAUUUAAUAAAUUCCGAAUCAAUGGAUAGGAUUAAGACACGUGUGUCACUGUUAGUAUAAAGGGUAUAUUCGCUCUAAAAUUUGGACGUUAAGGACACUAAUGUACCAAAAUAUCAAAUUAAUAUAAUUUAAUUUAAUUUUAAAAAAUUAAUUAAAUUAACUUUUGAAAAGCGCAACAUAACAACUGAAACGGAAUGGAAGAAGUAGUAUGUAUCUUCUUCUCUUCUUCUUUUAUUAUAAACAUUUAACUAAUGGAAAAAGAGGCACGUAUUUAGGUUGUUAGGUAGAGAAAAGAUUAAAAAAUAAAUAUAAAAGAGGAAGUAAAUGAGUAUAAUAAUUUGAGAAAAUGAAAGAAGGCAAUGUAAAAAAUAGGUGCAAAUCAACAAUGUUAAUUAUUUAUUCAAAGUUUAAAAACACAAAAGUGAAAACUUUUGUAAAAAGCCUUGAACCAAUUCGAUUCAUUUAAUUCUAUUUCUUAAGAUACUCCGUAUUUUCAAAUUUUAAAGAGGACUACAAAAAUAACUAUGUAUUCCGACAUUUAAAACUAACAUAAGUGUUAUUAGAAUGAGCCUAUCUAACACGUAUUUGAAUUAAUCAUGCUCAAAUACUGAUACUAAACAAUGGAUAAACUAUGCAAUGGAGUCUUAAACUAUAAUUAUAUAUUAAGUAAUUAAAUCAAAUCAUGUAAUUUAAUUAAUUAUACUACCAAAAUAUUAACUUCAAUGACACGAAGUAACAUAAUGUACCUUUAAAGUUUCACAAAAUUCAAUUAGGUUUUGAGUACAUUGAAGUACCUAAGUCAAAACCUUUCCAAAAACUCUCAAUAAAGUCUAAAAUAAAGUACUCCCUCCGUCCUUAAUUACUUGUCCACUUUUUCUUUUAUAGUUAUUCCUAAUUACUUGUCCAUUUUGACAAAUUAAGAUUGGACAAAAAAUUUUUACCUAUUAUACCCUCAAUUAAAUGAUUAAUUACUUUGAAAAAUGUAGAAUUUUUCAUCCACUUCAUAAUUGAUAGGGGUAAAAUGGUAAACUCACUAUGUCAUUAAUUGUUUUCUUAAUAAGUUUGCCAAUUCAAAAGUGGACAAAUAAUUAGGGACGAGUAAUUUUUUAUUUCUAUCAUGACCUGUAUUCUACCUCUUUGUGUUCCGAUGAUGAUUAACUAAGAUACAAAAAAAUUCAUAGAUAUUGUAUUUAAUCAUAUAAAUUUUUCAAUAUUGAGCUACAUAAUCCGUUGAAUUUUUUGCCCUCUAUUCCCACCUAAAACUAAAAAGAAAGAACAACAUUAAUUGCUUUAUUUGGUAAUGAAAGUGGGUCACAUUUUUCUCUAGAUCAUUAAACUAUUUAACAUUACAAUAAUCUAUCAUUUGUCUUCAUAUGAUAUAUAUGUAUUAUUGUACUCCCACCGUUUCAAAAAGAGUGAUCUGGUUUGACUUGACAUUGAGUUUUAGAAAAUAAAGAAGACUUUUAAAUCUUGUGGUCCUAAAUUAAAGUUAUGUCAAAUGUAUUAAAUUGUCCUUCAAUCUUGUGGCUUUAAACAUGUCACGUGAAAAGCUGAAAUUAAAAUGUUACCAAAAAAAGAAAUAGGUCAUUCUUUUUUACAUAGACUAAAAUGGAAAGGAGGUCAUUUUUUUUAAAAUAGAGGGAGUAUUAAAUUUCUCUAAAUUUCUAAACUAUUUAAGCACUUAGGUAAUUAAAGGUUAGUUCAUCAAUCAGAAUCCACAAAAUAAUUACUCCUUUCGUUUCAUAUUAGUUGAUCAUCUUACUAAAAAUAGCUUUCACACAUUAGUUGUCCACCUUACUAAAUCAAGAAAGCAAUAAUUAUUUUUUUUCCUAUAUUAUCCUUGCAAUUAAUUCCUUUUGAAAGUGUUCACAUUUAUUUGUAAAAUUUCCAAGAAGUUUUCUAGAGGUAAAUUAAUAAAAUUAUCUAGUUAAUAAAAAUGAUCGACUAAUAUAGGACGGGGAGUAAUAAAAUUCUUCAAAUAUUUAGUGUAACAAAAAAAAAGAAAAAAAAAAGCAGUGUACACUGAUUUUUGUAGCUAAAAAUCGUGCGAAGUUGAGGGAUGCACGCAUUUUUUUCAAAGAUUGUGUAUGCAUGUAAUGUAAAAGCUCGGAAGAAAAAGAAGACUUUGUAGCUCUUUGAAUUAUUGCAUCACAAGAUGUAAAGAAAAUAGUAUGGUUGUCUUAAUUGUUUAUACAUUUUUUCUUAGCUUGCAGUCUCUAUCCAAUAAAAUAAAGUCAAAUUGAUCCAACAACAUGACAAAACCAAUUAUCAAAAUGCAUAAAAACUACUUAACAUUUUACCUUACAUUUAUGUAAUCUUGGUAAGGGUAAUUGUCGAAAUGAAAGCUAUAUAAAGGGGUUUGAGUGAAGCUUAAGAGCACAACAACUUCUCUUCUUUGUUUCAAAUAUGGGGAAAAUGGCCUCUCUAGUUGCUACUCUUUUUAGUGGUUUUAGUGUCACUUAGCUUAGCUUCCGAAAGCUCAGCAAACUAUCAAUACUCAUCUCCCCCACCACCAAAGAAGCCAUACCACCCUUCACCAACACCUUAUCAUCCCGCACCAGUUUACAAAUCACCACCACCACCAACUCCAGUUUACAAGUCACCACCACCACCCAAGGAGCCAUACUAUCCUCCACACACACCAGUUUACAAGUCUCCACCUCUCCCAACUCCGGUUUACAAGUCACCACCACCACCGGUGAAGCCAUACCAUCCUGCACCAGUUUAUAAGUCACCACCACCUCCAACACAUGUUUACAAGUCACCACCACCACCAGUGAAGACAUACCAUCCUGCACCAGUAUACAAGUCUCCACCACCCNNNNNNNNNNNNNNNNNNNNNNNNNNNNNNNNNNNNNNNNNNNNNNNNNNNNNNNNNNNNNNNNNNNNNNNNNNNNNNNNNNNNNNNNNNNNNNNNNNNNNUCAACUCCCAUUUACAAAUCACCACCACCAGUGAAGCCAUACCAUCCUGCACCAGUAUACAAGUCUCCACCACCCUCAACUCCCAUUUACAAAUCACCACCACCAGUGAAGCCAUACCAUCCUGCACCAGUAUACAAGUCUCCACCACCCCCAACUCCCGUUUACAAUUCCCCACCACCACCAGUGAAGCCAUAUCAUCCUUCACCAACACCACACCAUCCUACACCAGUAUACAAAUCUCCACCACCCCACUAUAUUUACUCCUCUCCCCCUCCUCCCCACCAUUACUAGAAGUGACUUCAUUAUCUAUGAGGUAAUUAAUAUAAACUUAAACUUUCAAAAUCAUAUGACUAAAAUGCAAUGCAAUAAUAAGCUGCACAAUUUCUUCAUGCAAAACAUCAAUAUAAAAACUUAUGUUGUCUACUUCUUAUUUGGUUAUCUUCUACUAUAUAUGUUCUCAUUCACAAUACUAUAUUCUUAUGCAGGAAAAGCAAAUGUUGAGCUGAAAGGAAGGCAUUUUCUAUUUUCUAUAGGCAAUGAUAAAAGAAGAAAAUUAAAUUAUAGUAAACAAUAAGCCCCACAGAAGGCGAAGUUCUUUUGUAGCUUCAUGUUAUCUAAGUUAGUGAUAUUGUUUUUGUACUCUAUUUUUAUAUUUUACUAAUUUUAUGUAUUUCUGUAUGUUUGUUCGAUCUUCUUGCUAAAUGCGGAGAUUAUGAGAUGAAUAAAAUAAGUUAUUACUAUAUGUUUUACCCUUCUCCGUUGCAUUUAAACACUAUAUGUCGCAAUAAUUAAUUUAUUGAGAUAUAUAAAAUAUCUGAAGAUUUGUGAUUUAAAAGAAUAAUUUUGAAUCAUUGAAAUAGUAAUAGGCCCAUAUAAAGUGGAGCUUAUAAUUUAGAAUAUAAGUUUAAGGUGAUGCCAAUCUGAUCUAAUCAAUUAAAAGCCCAAUUUUAGCAUGGGAAGGGUAGUAACAUGUGAUUCUAUUACUUAUGUUUUAUAUUGUAUUGGAUUAUAUUAUUUUGAUUUUGGAUUUUUAUUUUUUUGUCAUUUCAUAAUAUUAUAUCAAUAUUUUUUUCUUAAAAAUUUAUAUAAUAUUAAAAAAGAAAUAGAAUACAGAGUACAAUUAUUAUAAAAACAAAAAAUUAGAAUAAAAGAUAUAAAAUAUAAUUAUUGAAUAACAAAUAAAGAUAAAUAAGAAAAAAAAAUAACAACGAAAUUAGACCACAUUGAAACAUUUCAUCGUCAAAUAUUAUUUUAACAAUACAAUAAAAUUUAAAUGCUAAUUAAAAUAAACACUUAUAUUUAAGUAAGAAUACGAUAUAAUAAAAUAUAGCAUGAAACAACUUUCCAAACAUCCAUUCAUAUUAAUGAUUCCCUCUGUCCAAUUUUACUUGCUUACUAAUUAAAAAUGAAUGUUUAGCUUUACUUAUUUAGUUUAGAAAAUCAAGAAAUAAUCUAUACUUAAUUUCUACUUUCACUUAAAUAAUAAUAUAAUAAAGUUGAUACUUUAUUUAUUGUUUUUAAGGAAUAUGUGUCACGACCCAAAGCGUCGUAAUUGGCACCCACACUAACUCUCUGGUGGGAGAACCACUAUUAUAACCCAAACCAAACAACUAACCAAAAACUAAGGCAUUUAAAUCAAACACUAAGGAAAUAAAAAUAGAGUUCCCAUAAACUCUAACAAAAGUCUAACAAUGCGGAAGAAUAACCUAAAACUUGAAAGUCAAUGUACCAAAACAUUCUAACAAUCAAUCAAGUCUAAACAAGAAAGGGAUAGAACCCCCAACUAAUUAACUAACCAACUAGCUAAAACAAAGGUCUAAGUCCGGAAAUAGUGGACAUAGACGAAAGAGAAUUUCAUGGCAGGCCGAAAGAAUUGGCUCACCCUUGAAUUUGAACGACGACUUUUGAUCUUCUAAGCGAGGUCUGUCAAUAGCCGCUUAAAGAUGCCCUGUACUCAACAAAAAUAAGAGCAAGUGCAGAAUCAGUACACAACCACAGUGUACUGGUAGGAUCACACGGCUAUCCCACUAGUGCAACAUAAACAAGUCAAGACAAUAUUAUAAUCACAUGCAUACAUAUCAACAUAUACAAUAUCAUCAACAUUUACGAAUAAUGAACAACUUCACAUUUUAUGUCAAACAGUUAGCAUGCCGUAACGUGGCAACUGAUCCCAUAUUUAUGCCGGAACGUGGCAACCGAUCCCAUAUUUAUGUUGGAAUGUGGCAACCGAUCCAAGUUAGUUAUGUCGGAACGUGGCAACCGAUCCAUGCACAACCACAAUCACAAUCACAAGUAUAUCAUCAAGAUCAUACAUUUAAGUCAUGAUUUCAUGGCAUACAUCAAUUAUCUAUCUCUUUUACAACAAGUGUGAUCAAUAUUGCAACAUUCAUAUAUAUACAAGUAUCAUAAUGAAGCAAGAACAAGCAUACAUCACACAAUCAUAGAAUCGCAACCAUCACCUACCUUGAAAUAAGCUUGAAACCUUAAGAAACUUGAUCCUUCCCUUUUCGGAUUCGUUCCGCUUGUUCUUGGUCAACAAACAAUCAAUAUAAUACAUGAAUCAAUAAACAAUCAUUAAUUACCUCGAUUACUAACAAUUCUAUGAACCCUAGAUCAGACACAUGAUCCCAAUUAACCAAUUUAGGGUUGUUUCCAGCAUAGAAUCUAAAACAAAACCCUCCCCCAUCAAUAUUCACCCAUUGUAUUAUGUUCUACGGAUCGAAAAACGGAUUUGGAGAGUGAAAAGCUUAUCUUUAGCCUUAAGAAUGGUGAAAAAUGAGUAUGAGUCGCCUGGGGGGUCGUUCCUUAGCUCUAAAAGUCAAAAAGUGCAUAAUGAGGUCGUUUAGGGAUUUAUUAACGACUUUAAUUUGUGUCGGGCCCGCCACAAUGGCCACCACCCCGCUACAGCGGGCGCCAGAGCGGUAAAACCCAGCGCCAAAGUGGCAUUCUCAAACCAGUGAGCUAUUUAAAGAAUUCCAAAAUUCUCAUUUCACAACACACCUCUAACCCACGACGCUCAGUAAAUACCCUUUACACUAAGAUCGAUUCUGGGAGUUCUACUCUCCCGAAUUCAAUUUCGUAAAGUCGUACGAAUUUCUUAACGAGUUAUCUAACUACUCAUGUAAUCAAAAUCAUAAAUGAUUCACACGAUUGUUACCAGAUUUCCCUACACCUCAAUGACUCCGAUUUCGUCCAAAUCUGGACAAGGUUGGGAAAAUCUAAAUACUACGAAAAAGUUUUCCGGCCCCAAAUUUUCCCCCGUUGACUUUUCUAUAACGACGAAAUAGAUCGUUACAAUAUGUUAAAUAAACAGGACAAGUAAAAUAUACGGAUGGAUCCUUGGGUGUAGGAAGCGUUUCUUCCGAAUAAGGUCCUGUGCGGCACAAAUUCGAAAUAAUCGAACUACAAAAUAGAUACAGAGCACUAGGUGUGAAACAAAAAAAAACGGAGGGAGUAUUAUUUAUAUUAUAUUUAUAUUAAUAAAUAAAAAAGUUACUCCCUAGACGUCAACGUAUGCUAGAUUGGCCAAUAGAUUAAGAAAAUAAUAUUAUCAAAAAUGUCAAUAGUAAUGUGGCAAAAAAUUAAUGGUGAAAAGGAGAGGGUAACUGCAUGCUGUCAUAUAUAUCUUUUAAUUUAUUUAUUUUUUAAAAAUAAAACAACUGCUUGCUGUCAUACAACUUUGCAAAAAUGAUUGCUAAAAUUAAAUAUGAUUAGUAUUUAUAUAUAGUCAAAUUGGUACUUCUUUGUUCAAUUUAGAUAGCACGUUGAAAAUUUAAGAUUUAUAUUUUUAAUUUUUAAUAGUAAAUUCAGACAUAAAAAUCUUAAAUUUAAAAAUAUAUAUUAAAUAUUUAAUAAAUAUUUUUCAAAUGACUCUCAAAAUUUCGAUUGUGUUACAUUAUUAAUUGAAACAUAUACGGAUUAGGGAGUAAGUAACUAGAGUCCAGAAUGUUACUUUUUUUCUUACAAUGUUAGCUUUAAUUCUAACUUUUCAUUUAAAAUUGUAAAAUUUAAAAUAUUUUAAUUUAUAUUUUACCUACUCUUAUUUUUAUUUAACACUAUAAAAUUUAAAAUUCAUCUUUACUAUCUAAAAUCAAAAUCGAACAAAUUGUAAUUGAGUGGAUUAACAAAUACUAGUUUAGAGAACGCCCACGAUAUUAAUAAAGUUGGUCCUCUUUGGCACCCCAAAAAGAUAACAACACUAUGAUGGAAUUUGGAGUAGAAUUGUCAAUGCAUUAAUUUUAUGUGAAUUUAGUAAUUAAUUUUAAUAUCUUCGAAAUAAUUUUAAAUAUCUAAAAACUAGAAACAAAAAUUUACUACAAAUUACUAUUUUAUAGUAUGACUAAUAAUGCAAGUCUUUGAAAUAAUAGACUUAAAGUCUUUUGAUGAAAUUUUUAUUUGUCAAAAGAAAUAUUCAAUUAAGAUACUUGUGAAUUUCCAUAUGGAAAAUCAAAAUGCUACAAGCACAUCAAUGAAUAUAAAGGAGAAAUUAGUAAGGAGGAUGAAGUUGAUAAAAUUGAAAUUUCCUCCCUAUCUUACCCCUAAUAUAUAUAUAUAUAUAUAUAUAUAUAUUAUUAUAUAUAUAUAUAUAUAUAUAUAUAUAUAUAUAUAUAUAUAUAUAUAUAUAUAUAUAUAUAUAUAUAUAUAUAUAUAUAUAUAUAUAUAUAUAUAUAUAUAUAUAUAUAUAUAUAUAUAUAUAUAUAUAUAUAUAUAUAUAUAUAUAUAUAUAUAUAUAUAUAUAUAUAUAUAUAUAUAUAUAUAUAUAUAUAUAUAUAUAUAUAUAUAUAUAUAUAUAUAUAUAUAUAUAUAUAUAUAUAUAUAUAUAUAUAUAUAUAUAUAUAUAUAUAUAUAUAUAUAUAUAUAUAUAUAUAUAUAUAUAUAUAUAUAUAUAUAUAUAUAUAUAUAUAUAUAUAUAUAUAUAUAUAUAUAUAUAUAUAUAUAUAUAUAUAUAUAUAUAUAUAUAUAUAUAUAUAUAUAUAUAUAUAUAUAUAUAUAUAUAUAUAUAUAUAUAUAUAUAUAUAUAUAUAUAUAUAUAUAUAUAUAUAUAUAUAUAUAUAUAUAUAUAUAUAUAUAUAUAUAUAUAUAUAUAUAUAUAUAUAUAUAUAUAUAUAUAUAUAUAUAUAUAUAUAUAUUAUUAUUUUUGAAAAAGUGGUUAAGUUUUAAGAAAAUUUCAAAAGUUUAAUUGGAUACUUGAUAAUGUAUCUCACUCUACCAGACUGGAUAUCCUAUUUGUUGUAAAUCUUUGUCUAAAUUUAUGCAUUAGGCUACUGAAAUAUAUUUGAAAGGAGCAAAAAAGUUAUAACUUUAAUUAUGUUAUUAAUUAUUGACACAACUGAAAAGAGUCAAAUCAGAAAGAGGAAAAUUAAAUCAGAUCAAAUUUAUUUUGAUUUGAAUUGGGUUACAACACUUUUUCAAUAUCAAUAAUCGAAAAAUUCAAAUUGAAUAGUACUUUAAAAAUCAAAUGCACACCCUAGACCUUAACUGCAGUCACUCUCUUUCCCUCUCCUUCUCUCUAUUCUACCAAACCACAUUUUAUCUAAAAUUAAAAUUAACAAUUUUUUUCAAUAUUUAAAAUAUAAUCUUGAAAUUAUUCUAUUUCUAAAUUUCUAAAACGUUUUUUUUUUUUUAUCGUUUUUUAUCAUUUUGUUGUAACAACCUUCAUUCAUCAUGGAUGGAGUUGAAGGAAAUAGUGGCUAAAAAUGGAAACGAAGAAGAAGAAAUAAAUAAAAAUUAGCUAAAUCAGUCUUUCACACACAAUCAACAAGUCAACAAGUGUAUCAGACUCAUUAUGUCAUGUCAGUAAAAAGUAUCAAAAUGAUAUAUCGAAUCCGAAUUGUGACAUAUAAGUCCUAACCUAAGAUGUUUAAAAUUAACAAAUCUUAAUUAAGAUAUCUAAAUGAAAAUUAAUAUCAACAAUUUAGGUAGCCAUUAAUGAAUUCAACCUAAAAAUUAAGUUGAGUGGAUCAAAUACCAUUAUGGGCAAGAAUCUGAUCUCAAUAAUGCAUGAUAAAGUAAAUAAUAUAUAGUACUUAAUAAGUUACUAUUAUCUACAUAAUUUUCCAUUAUGGUAACAGAAAAAAGUUAUUUUUCCUCAAGUGUUUAUGAAAGUGACUUUGCAGAAUAUUAUAUAGGUGAAAAGGAUAUUAUAACAGUAGAAUAUCUAUUAAUUUCUAAUUCAAGAAAAUGACAAUUAUGACUUCACAAAAAGUUUAGGGAAAUAUUAUAAUGUCGACAAAAUUACGCUGGAUAGCACUACUCUAUUGUAGGACUUAUUUAGCCACCAUUUAAUUAAUAUAAUAAUUAGAGAAGACGGAGAUUUUGAGUUCUAAGUCACCAAAAAAUCAUACUAUAAAAAGGUAUUAAGCUUGUCAUACGUAAGAGGAUGUAUCGUGUUUCAAUUUAUUUGUUUGGCCAAAUUUUUAAAAUCAAACUUAUUUUAAGAAGUAUUUUUUUUAAUAUUGCUUUUUAAAAAAAAUUAUUUUGGCGAGAAGCCGUUUGUGUUUGACCAAUAAAUUUAGAGAACACUUUUGAGAAGCAAUUAAUGUUCGGCCAAAUAAAUAAUGUAUUUUUUUCUCAAAGACGAUAUUUUUCAAAAAAAUGCGUUUAGACAAAAGCUACUGUACUUCUUUUUAGCAAUUAAUAAUAACUUACAAUUUUUUUUAAAAAAAUACACAAAACACUGCCAACUAGGUUUGAACUCUAGGUGGCUGCUACCUACACUCUAUUCACUAUUGAAGCACUUCACCAGCGAACCAUCUGGAAAUUUGUGUUAGGUGUUAUUAUCGUAUAAUAUAUAUACAAAUUAUUUAAUUUGUAUGAUAAAUAAAUAGAUAUAUUGAUUAAAAUUUAUUGAUGAAGUAGUGUCAGAUGACACCCCUUAUCGUAAGGUGUGUCCACCCCUGCUUACCUAUGUCGAUUCAGAUUAGUUGAGCUAGUAUGAUUAAAUAUAGAAUAAUUAAACUAAGUAAUUUCCAUGUCAACUCUUGUUUUUAUAUUUGUAUACUAUCAUAUAAUAAUAAAUGCCACAUGAUUGUUUUCUAAUUUUAAAUCAGAAAAUACUAAUUUAGGAUCAAAGGCAACUAAUUAACUUUUUAAAAACAAAAAUAAAAUAAGUAAUAAUUAACAAAAAAAGACGAGUGGUUUUAAAUAAAGUUAGGGGAUCUUGGAAUUGCUUUCCAAGUGGGAGGUAAACGCGUAGAAAUUGACGUGCAUAACAUGCAAAAAAAAAUAAAGUAGGUGAGAUUUGGACUCUUAUUUUUAUAAAAAACGAAAAAACAAAAGAGAAGCUACGGACUCAUAUUUAACGACUUUGCUUUUCCAUCUUAUAUCAUAUAUAUCUGUCUAUUAGAGUCUGAUUAAUUCAAAUUCGUGUUACGUAGGAAUUUAUUUGGCGAGGAAAUCACUUUUUAUAAGGAUUUUUCUAUAAUCAGGCCUUGAACUCGAAACUCUGAUUAAGAAAAAAAAAUAGUAUUAGUUAUUGUACCGUAUUCUUUGAUAAUGAUAUUUAACCACUUGUAAAAUCAUACUUCUUCCUUUAAAGAAAUAUCCAAAAGGUACAUUGCAAUUGCAUAGCUCAGCCACUUGACUAUAUAGCGCGGGAUUCCCUUGCUUUGUUGUAUAUGUCUUUUUAUUUUUAUUUUAUUUGAAUCUAUAAUUGUGAUGAUUGAAUUUGAAUAACUUUACAUGUAUAUAUAAUUGGUUAUCGAUAAUGAGCCUAAUAAUAUUAACUUUAUAUUUAUAUUUAAUUUAAGUCGUAAGAACAAUUUACAAUUAGUUAUAAAAUGUAAUAAUACAUCAUCAAUAACAUCAAAAUAAUUGGAAAGUUUGAUCAAACCAUAAUUGUUUUUCGAAAGAGUUUUCUUAAUUUAUUGAUCAAAUAAAAAUUGUUUUUACCAAAAUUAUUUCUUUUAAAACAUUUUUCAUGAUAAGUUAAUUUUGAAAGUUUGGUCAAACAUGUUAUUGGACAAAGAUGUGUUAAUGAAUAGUGUCACGUACGAUCUCAUGAGAUUAUUUUAUCUCACAUUUUAUAUAAGAUAUAAUUCCACCAUUUUAAUAUAAAUGAUGAGAUGAAAUAAUUCCGUAAUUCGAUAAAAUCUCAAAACAAACAUGAGAUAAAGUUACCCAAAUUUUGUCCCGAAAUUAACUAACCAAUACCUCAAACCAAAUAUAAUAAAUAAAGUUCAUAUCAAAUUUUAUCUCAAAACUAUCAUUCUUAUCCCACGUACCAAUAGAAACUUUUAUGUGUGGUUAAUAUAUAUAAUACACGUAACUGAAUUUUCCUAGGGCACAACAUAUAAUUUCUAACUCUCAAUUAAGAUGAUUUAAUAUUAUUGCAUGAAUUCACACAUUGCAUUUGGUGAUGGAUUUAGCUAGUCUUUAGUAGUGGAUGAAAAUCCCAAUGUCUUCUACCUAUAUACUCCCUCCGUUCAGAUUUACUUAUCAAAUUUUAAUUUGAUAUAUUUAUUAAGAAAAUAAUUUUUGAUAUGUUGAGUUUAUUAUUUUACCUAUGUUAGUUGAUAGAGUCUCAAACAUAUUUACUUAUUACAUUUUUCAAAGACAUUAAUUAACUCAAUGUUAAUAAAUUAAAAGUAAAAAAAAAAAUUAUCUUUUUUUUUAAUUUAUCAAAAAUAACAAAUAAAAAUAAAAUUAAUUAGAAAAUAUUUGACAAGUAAAUUUGAACGGAGGAAGUAUUAUAUGUUUCAACCUAUGCCACAGAAGUACAAUAUAAAGGCCGCCAUGGUACUUUUUAUCCACCAACUUUAAAGGUGUAUGGUUGGUAAGAAAUGAGUUAUAAUAUAGUUUACUGGUUCGGUGAAUUUAGAGUUGUGGUUCAAAACAUAUGUUUAUUAUAAAAAAAAAAUAUGGAAUUAUAUUUAAUUUUAUGCAAUAAUAAUUAUGAUUGUUUUGUGCAGUUUCAUUUUAGAUUAUGAGGAACAAAUUCUCAUUUGCCACACACUUACCCUCUCACUUUAUCACUAACCGUAGAUGAAAUUGUUUUUUUUUUUAAUCAGAGAUUUCAAAUUCAAGUCCUAUAAAAAAAUAUUGAUAGGGUAGCUUCCUUUUCGAAUGGAAUUAUAUACGGUGCGAAUUUAAAAUUAUUAAAAUCUAACGUGAAUAUCAGACACGGACGGAAAGAGAAAAAAACAUUAAAACUUUCACUUUUUUACUUUUGAAAAUUUCAAGACAAUACAUCAACGUCAAUAGUUAAGACUAUUCUAAUUAAAUCGAAUAGUAUUGAGACUUUAAAGAGUUAGUUAUUGCUUUAAAUGUAUUUUUCUACCUCCACGUAGGAUAAUUUUGACUGAAAAUUCUCUUCGAUUGAAAAUAUUUAAUGCCGUAUAUCAAUUGUACUACGUUUCUAUGGUUAAGACCAUAUAAUAUUAUUCAUAUGUUAAAUUUCAAACUUAAUUAGGUAUAACGUAAUUUCAAAGGUUUACUGUAAGGACAUAAUCAAAUAGUUAUAAUUUUAUUAAAAGAAAGUUGGAAUAGGUCUGCCACUUAUAAUGUUGAAAUUUUAUGUCGUCGAAGAAAAUAAGAUCUAACUCAUUUUGCAUUUUCACAUAAAGUAAGAAAAUAAAUCUCGAGCUUAACUCAAUUUUAAAACUUGGCUUAAGAUAUAAAGAUUGUCUAAACGGUAUUAAAGAGACCGUUCAUUUCUUAAAGGGUGAAUUUAGAACUCUUCACAUAACUGAUCAUCUGGUGGGUGAUCAAUUAUUUAAUAUGAGAUUUCAAUGUUAAAAUAAAAAUCGAGAUGAGUUAUUUUAGGGCUUACUCAACCCUCAAAAUUAGUUCUAGAAAUAAAAACUAUGCAGGUCAAACAAAAAACAAUUACCCAUCUUUUAAAGAAUUGAUGUGAGACUCUUCAAAAGAAUCGAAAUCUGAGCACAUAAAAAUUUCCUAAAUCACUACAAGGAAAAUGUGAAUUACAUGGGGAUUAGUAUGAAAAUUUGCAGGAAAAUAAGUUUUCUGCAGAUUUUCAUACUAAUCCCUAGGAAAGUCCCCAUGUAAUUCACACUUUUUUUUGUAGUGAAUUAAAUGAACUUUUUUCUUUUCACAAAAUAAGAAAGUUCAUUACAUAAGGAGAAAGAAAAGAAAACACAACGGAACCCACAUUUACAGUGUAUUCGGUACGAAUGAAAAUAUUUUUUAUGAGUAAUAUUUUUUUUUAAAUAAGUAGUUUUUUAUUUAUAUUAUGUUAUUUGAUAGGUAUAUAAAAAAAUAUUAUUUUUAAAAUAUUUGUAUAUAAUCUAUGAUAAAUAAUUAAUAUAGAAGAUGGGGUAGCUAGAGGGUGGGGGUUGUGGGGAUGGGCCAAGGAUGUGGUAAAAAUACAAUCACUUGUAAAAAAGGAUUUUUCUUAUUUCUAUUAAGGAAAUCAUUUUCCUUAUUUUUAAGAAUUUUUUUUUUUUAGAAAAUAUUUUUUGACUAAUCAAAUAUGAAAAAUCCUUUAUUCUAUUUGUGUGAUAGAUCCCCACAAUGUAUACUUGUAGUAUUUAUUUUAUAAUAUAAGUAUAUUAAUGAUAUGAUCCUCUUUACUUAUUUUAUUUGUGAGAAAAUGUAUACAUGUGUAAUAACUAAAGUUGCACAUGCUUUCUACUUUUCUUCUAGAACAAUAAUAUAUUGAUUAUUUUAUUUAUUCUCUGGUGGACUAAGAUUAACGAAACCAAGGAAAAAGUCCUCAAACCACGGCUAGAGUCCUAUCAUAUAUUGGAAUGGUCCCAUUAUUAUCUUUGCCUACAAUUAUUAUUUCUGAAUUUCUACUAUAAUUUCAAGUUGAUAUAUGAAUUUAUAAUUAAGUAUUUAUAAAUAUUUAAUAAUUUUUUAAUAUAUACAUUAAGUAAAAAUAUAUUGGAAAUAACCUCUUUAUCUUCAUGAGUCAGUGAUAAGAUGCAUACAUGUACUCUAUCCUCCCAGACUUCGCUGAGUAAAUUUUACUGAAUAUGUUAUUAUUGUGUUGUUAUUGUUAUUGUUCACUGAAUAUGAAUAUAGAUAAAAAAAAAAAAAAUUAUUAGAUUUCCCUGAAUUCAUAUAUUGUACACUGACUCCGUCAUUAAAUCCCACCAUCCCAAAUAACUAUUACGUGAAAAUGACAUUCGAAAUUAACAUGCACGUAAAAAUGGGUUUGAAUAAUGCAAAUGAAGUUGAUUGGAUAACAAGAAAUUGAAGUCAUUUUUCAUUAUUUGAAAUAAAUAAAUAAAAUGAGAAAAUAUAAGCAUGCACACAAAUUAUCAAAGUUAUAUAAGAACACUUGUGAAGACACAAAUUAAUAAGUGUUUAAUUGUGAAGACAAAAAUUAAUAAGUUUUUAAUUUUUUGCCUCAACAGCUAAUAGAAUAUGCUCCGAAGGCCAGGUCCAGUUUCAUUUAUUUUAUUUUAGUUAAUAAUAGAGUGACAGCUCAAUCUACUAAUAAUUUUAAUAAAUAAUCAAAAUUAUAAUUAAUUAAUUAAUAUAUUUGUGAUUAUAAGUGAUGAGUUGAAGGCUAUAAAAGCAGCGUUUGGGGAGGGUACAUUGGCACAGCAAACAUGGCUAAAAUAGCCUAUCUUCUUACCACUCUUUUAGUGGCUUUAGUGUCACUUAGCUUCCCUUCAGAAUGCAAAGCAAAUUACUACUAUACAUCUCCACCCCCACCAACCCCAGUUUAUAAGUAUAAGUCUCCGCCACCACCAGUUUAUAAGUACAAGUCACCACCACCACCACCUCCCGUCUAUAAAUCCCCACCACCACCCGUUUACAAGUAUAAAUCUCCACCACCACCUGUCUACAAGUACAAGUCUCCUCCACCACCACCUCCAGUUUACAAAUACAAAUCUCCACCACCACCUGUCUAUAAGUACAAGUCUCCUCCACCACCACCUCCAGUUUACAAAUACAAAUCUCCACCACCACCUGUCUAUAAGUACAAGUCUCCUCCACCACCACCUCCAGUUUACAAAUACAAAUCUCCACCACCACCUGUCUAUAAGUACAAGUCUCCUCCACCACCACCUCCAGUUUAUAAGUACAAAUCUCCACCACCACCCGUAUAUAAGUAUAAGUCUCCUCCACCACCACCCCCAGUUUACAAGUACAAAUCUCCACCACCACCUGUCUAUAAAUACAAGUCUCCACCACCACCAACUCCGGUUUAUAAGUAUAAAUCUCCACCACCACCGGUCUACAAGUACAAGUCUCCACCACCACCAACUCCAGUUUACAAGUACAAAUCUCCACCACCACCUGUCUAUAAAUACAAGUCUCCACCACCACCAACUCCGGUUUAUAAGUAUAAAUCUCCACCACCACCGGUCUACAAGUACAAGUCUCCACCACCACCAACUCCAGUUUACAAGUACAAAUCUCCACCACCGCCUGUCUAUAAGUACAAAUCUCCACCACCACCAACUCCAGUUUACAAGUACAAAUCUCCACCACCACCCGUUUAUAAGUACAAGUCUCCCCCACCACCCGUCUACAAGUACAAGUCUCCACCACCACCCGUUUACAAAUACAAGUCUCCACCACCUCCAGUCUACAAGUACAAAUCUCCACCGCCACCCGUCUACAAGUACAAGUCUCCACCACCUCCAGUCUACAAGUACAAAUCUCCACCGCCACCCGUCUACAAGUACAAGUCUCCACCACCUCCAGUCUACAAGUACAAAUCUCCACCGCCACCUGUUUACAAGUACAAAUCUCCUCCACCACCUCCUCCAGUUUACAAGUACAAGUCACCACCACCACCAGUUUACAAAUACAAGUCACCACCACCACCCGUUUACAAAUACAAAUCACCCCCACCCCCAGUUCACAAGUCUCCAGCCCCUUACUAUUACACUUCUCCACCUCCUCCUAGCCACUACUAGUUUCACACUAUCGAACAAGGUAAUAU
RNAcentral lists this long non-coding RNA (19459 nucleotides) under Solanum tuberosum (potato). RNAcentral's name for it is "long non-coding RNA (STUB_LNC005069)". The record is from RNAcentral. Lineage: Eukaryota; Viridiplantae; Streptophyta; Magnoliopsida; Solanales; Solanaceae.